CCUACGGGCGGCAGCAGUGGGGAAUAUUGCACAAUGGGGGAAACCCUGAUGCAGCGACGCCGCGUGAAGGAAGAAGUAUUUCGGUAUGUAAACUUCUAUCAGCAGGGGAGAAAAGGACGGUACCUGACUAAGAAGCCCCGGCUAACUACGUGCCAGCAGCCGUGGUAAGACGCCGGGGGCAGGCGUUAUCCGGAUUUACUGGGUGUAAAGGGGGCGUAGGCGGGGAUGCAAGUCAGAAGUGAAAGCCCGGGGCUCAACUCCGGGACUGCUUUUGAAACUGUGUUGCUAGAUUGCAGGAGAGGUAAGUGGAAUUCGUAGUGUAGCGGUGAAAUGCGUAGAUAUUAGGAGGAACCCCAGUGGCGAAGGCGGCUUACUGGACUGUAAAUGACGCUGAGGCUCGAAAGCGUGGGUAGCAAACAGGAUUAGAUACCCUUGUAGUC
Molecule: ribosomal RNA, 440 nt
Filed under: uncultured bacterium
Lineage: Bacteria
Description: partial 16S ribosomal RNA
Rfam family: Bacterial small subunit ribosomal RNA
Source: RNAcentral